This 18-nucleotide microRNA is filed under the name Macrophomina phaseolina MS6. RNAcentral describes it as "miR-1412". The record is from RNAcentral. Lineage: Eukaryota; Fungi; Ascomycota; Dothideomycetes; Botryosphaeriales; Botryosphaeriaceae.
UGGGUGGGGCGGGCGAGG